UACAACACUCGGAUGUCAUGUCCGUGAGAGCUCGAGUCUCACUGUCAUGAAACAUGUAUAGGUUCUAAAUAGAGAUUCAUAACCAACAUGAUGAAACGGAAGCAAAGUUCUUGAGGAGAAGGCAGCUCUAGAAGCUAAGUAUCAAAAGUUAUAGCAGUCUUUCUAUACCAAGCGAUAUGAGAUUGUGACCGGUGUGGUUGGAGUUGAAGAUUAACCUAAAGAAGUAAAAAGAGCCGGGAGAGGAUAAAGUGAUACUGGUUCCAGACAGAAGAUUCACUCAAUGGAUGGGCAUUACAGGCCACUGAUAUACAUGAGGCCUCUCGCAAUACGGGGAGUGCAAUGGGCAUUGUCGCUGCAAAAGGCAAUCCUUGAUACUCCUAAGAUCAACAUGAUGGCCAGAGUUCACAUGUCCCCUGUGAGCCGCAUAUUCUCUCACAACUCCAAAGUUGUAACACACAAAGUAUUUUAUCUCCUUCCUUAUGCUUAAUGGAGUUCCUGAGAGGCCAGAACUCACUCCCUAUGAGUCCCAUUGGUAUAUAGGCGGCAUAAGCUAAAUAAGGACUUGAUAUGGAAUCUCUUUCCAGAGUAGAGAGUGAAGUUAGAGAGGAAUUAGCACAAACACCAUGACAACGAGAAGCCUGAGCUGGAAGCAGUGUUAUUUCGAUUUCAUUAAAGAAGAAGCUGGGCGGCUAUUUAGAACAUUGCAAACAAUUCUCUGGCCUGAUGACACCCCAUAGGAUGGAGGAGGUUAUGUUGUUGUAAUUGGGAUUUUGGGAUCAGUUAUAAGAGUAUUUUUCUUAUUGGCUCUUUCUUGCUUGAUCUUCCUGGCAGGUACUUUCAAACUCUCACUGCAGUUCUCUGAAGAUUAUCCAAAUAAACAACCAACCGUUCGUUUUGUGUCACGGAUGUUUCAUCCAAAUAUUUAUGCAGAUGGGAGUAUUUGCUUGGACAUUCUACAAAACCAGUGGAGUCCAAUAUAUGAUGUUGCUGCUAUACUUACCUCCAUCCAGUCAUCUCCUGCAAAUUCGGAAGCCGCUCGGAUUUACAGCGAAAACAAGCGUGAGUACAACAGAAAAGUGUGUGAUGUUGUCGAGCAAAGCUGGACUGCGACUAGUAGUAGUUAGAGUUGUAAGCUGUGUAACUCUCCUGUCCUAUCUCAAUGUCUUUCAUUCAUGUAUUUUGUGUUGUGUGUUUCAAAACUCUACUGAUUGGAUGCUUUGAUGGCUCUAUGAAACCUUUGUACCAAA
Molecule: long non-coding RNA, 1247 nt
Organism: Brassica napus (rape)
Lineage: Eukaryota; Viridiplantae; Streptophyta; Magnoliopsida; Brassicales; Brassicaceae
Exons: 8
Source: RefSeq, a predicted model, not a curated record